CCCCCAUGGAAAUGGGCAAAGAGACACCUGGUUGGUGAUAUUAUUCUUAUAACCGACAGGGGCAGAGCAGAUGGCAGUCCUUUGUUCACCCUAGCUUGAUACCUGGCUUAUUGGCCAAAGCUUUUUAUGCCUAGGACACAUAA
Small nucleolar RNA from Rattus norvegicus (Norway rat), 143 nucleotides. Ensembl annotates it as small nucleolar RNA SNORA48. NCBI's taxonomy places the organism in Eukaryota, Metazoa, Chordata, Mammalia, Rodentia, Muridae. The record is from Ensembl.